UGAACUUCCAGUUCACUGUCUUUCACUGGACAUGUGAGGACUGUGUGUUAGCAGUGGUACACAGCCUUACUGCCCAGAGACACAGAGAGGUAGGCGCAUCUCUGCUGGGAAAAUGAAAGAAAAACAUUCUGAUGCUUACAAGUGCCAAUGAAAAGAGAGAAAGGGAAUGCAAGAAAGCAAGCCGCCAGGUCUGGAACUAGAACUGUGGUCACCAUGUGGGUUCCCAACACCUUAACUGCCACACCGCCUGCCCUUUUUGCUAACUGAGAUGCUGCAGUCUGUAGGGAACCAUGCCUACAGAGAAGUCCAGCCACCUGCCUGAGCGCCUGAGCGCCCCUCAAGUCACACUUGAACAGCGACUGCCCGGGUCACAGCCACAGAACUCCUAACAGCAUCUGGAGCUCCGCAGACCCGAGGAGCUCACGUUCCGGUCAGCGAUGUUAAAGUCCUCCAUCCAACCUGGACAUCCAGCAGGGCCCAGAAAGCGGCCGGGGGCUGAGCGUUCCCUCCCACACCUGAAACCAGAGCACCCUGGAGGCCUGCAGACUAAAUCACUCUCGCUUUUCAGUGGAAGCCCAUGAUUUCAAGUCCAUGUAACCCAUCAGUGGCCUUUUGGUAAUUAUCCUAUCUUUUCUUUUCUCUUCU
Molecule: long non-coding RNA, 645 nt
Organism: Tupaia belangeri chinensis (Chinese tree shrew)
Lineage: Eukaryota; Metazoa; Chordata; Mammalia; Scandentia; Tupaiidae
Exons: 3
Source: RefSeq, a predicted model, not a curated record